UCUCCAUGAUCCUAUGCUGCCGAGAAAAGCCUCUAGCGAGCUGGUACAUGGCCCGUACCCCAAACCGACACAGGUGGUCAGGUAGAGAAUACUAAGGCGAUCGAGAGAACUGUGGUUAAGGAACUCGGCAAAAUGCCCCCGUAACUUCGGGAGAAGGGGGACCAGUCCUGGUGACGACAUUUACUGUCUGAGCUGGGGUUGGUCGCAGAGACCAGAGAGAAGCGACUGUUUACUAAAAACACAGGUCCGUGCGAAGUCGUAAGACGAUGUAUACGGACUGACGCCUCCCCGGUGCUGGAAGGUUAAGAGGACCGGUCAGCCACUUCGGUGGCGAAGCUGAGAAUUUAAGCCCCAGUAAACGGCGGUGGUAACUAUAACCAUCCUAAGGUAGCGAAAUUCCUUGUCGGGUAAGUUCCGACCUGCACGAAUGGCGUAACGACUUCUCUGCUGUCUCAACCACAGACUCGGCGAAAUUGCAGUACGAGUAAAGAUGCUCGUUACGCGCGGCAGGACGAAAAGACCCCGGGACCUUCACUAUAGCUUGGUAUUGGUGUUCGGUUCGGUUUGUGUAGGAUAGGUGGGAGACUGUGAAACUCGCACGCCAGUGUGGGUGGAGUCAUUGUUGAAAUACCACUCUGACCGUAUUGGACAUCUAACCUCGGACCAUGAUCUGGUUCAGGGACAGUGCCUGGUGGGUAGUUUAACUGGGGCGGUUGCCUCCUAAAAAGUAACGGAGGCGCCCAAAGGUUCCCUCAGCCUGGUUGGCAAUCAGGUGUUGAGUGUAAGUGCACAAGGGAGCUUGACUGUGAGACGUACAUGUCGAGCAGGGACGAAAGUCGGGACUAGUGAUCCGGCACCGGCAAGUGGAAGCGGUGUCGCUCAACGGAUAAAAGGUACCCCGGGGAUAACAGGCUGAUCUUCCCCAAGAGUCCAUAUCGACGGGAUGGUUUGGCACCUCGAUGUCGGCUCGUCGCAUCCUGGGGCUGGAGUAGGUCCCAAGGGUUGGGCUGUUCGCCCAUUAAAGCGGCACGCGAGCUGGGUUUAGAACGUCGUGAGACAGUUCGGUCUCUAUCCGCCGCGCGCGUAAGAAACUUGAGGAAACCUGUCCCUAGUACGAGAGGACCGGGACGGACGAACCUCUGGUGUGCCAGUUGUUCCACCAGGAGCACCGCUGGUUAGCUACGUUCGGAAGGGAUAACCGCUGAAAGCAUCUAAGCGGGAAGCCUGUUCCAAGAUGAGGUUUCUCACCACCUAGCGUGGUUAAGGCCCCCCACAGACCAUGGGGUUGAUAGGCCAGAACUGUAAGCACAGCAAUGUGUUCAGGUGACUGGUACUAAUCGGCCGAGGACUC
This 1351-nucleotide ribosomal RNA is filed under the name metagenome. Its description in RNAcentral is "bacterial LSU rRNA". It matches the Rfam family "Bacterial large subunit ribosomal RNA", at positions 1589 to 2925 of the family's 2925-position model. The record is from RNAcentral.